This 1180-nucleotide long non-coding RNA is filed under the name Zonotrichia albicollis (white-throated sparrow). RNAcentral's name for it is "lncRNA (ENSZALG00000001340.1)". Lineage: Eukaryota; Metazoa; Chordata; Aves; Passeriformes; Passerellidae. The record is from RNAcentral.
CUCCAAUCCUGCAUUGCCCCCUCCCUCCUGCAGUGUCACUUCUGUCCCACUCUCUCCCCCACCUCCCCACCGCACCUCUCGGAGCUCCGUGCUCACUGGGAAAGCCUUGGGGAUGCUCUGAGGACACUCUGGGGGUUGAAGGAGCCUUGGGAUGUCCUCGGUGGCUCUUUGGCACCGCUCGGCCACCCCACAGACACUGGGGCUGUUGGGACCACCAGUGAACAAGAACUUGAUGGCAUCUGGAACUGCCUUCAGCAGGUGACCCUUGGCCAGGCGGGCAUUGGCUUCCCACAGCCGCUCAGCCUCGGUCACCUUGGCCACCAAGGCCCUGGGGACUUUGGGAAACUUCUCAUUUGUCCCCUUCAGGGUGACCUCGAUGUCCCUGAGCAGGCGCUCCAGCUCCCGGGGGAACGCGGUGGCUUUGUCACACGCAGCCACCAAGCGCUCCAGCAGCCACAGGGCCACCUCCACCCGCUGUCUCACCAUGGUGGCCCUUGUUGCCUCGCUGGCAGCCACCAUGGCCUCUCUGCUCACCUGGGCUCCAUGUCCGGCCGCCACCUCAGCCCCCUCCUCCCUGCCCAGGGCCUGACCCAGCUCCACCAUGUUUUCCUGAGUUGUCCCAUCAUGGGCAGCCUUUUCCUCUAGCUUCCUCACUCGGGUGGUGGCCUUGUCCUCCUCAGAGGCUGCCUCAGUCACCACCUCCCUCCAGGCAUUGCGGAGCUUGGUGGCCUUCCUGGCCAGCUCGGCCCAGCUGUCCGCAAGCACUGACAGGCGCAACACGCUGGCUGCCGUUGUCACAUUGAACCAGGUGGUCCAUGGCGUGCUCUCGUAGGCGGCCAGGGCCCGGCUCAGGGAGAUGACAGGGCGAGCAAUACUGUCGCGGUCCCUACAGUGGUACCAGACACGCUUAGUCUCCCACAUGGUUCCAUGGAGAUAAUAGGUGAAUUCCUUCAGGUCCCUGUGCAGGCACCCUGGGGGCAACAGCAGCAUCAUCUCCUCAUCCCAUCUGGGCAGGGUGUCCAGCAGCUCGCCCAGGAUGGCCACCACGGUGACCUGUGGCUGCAGCAGGGCUGGGGACAGCUGGGGAGGGGACAGAGGAGGUGUCAGGGACCUGGUGGCACUUAAGGCCUCCUGGGGUGGCACCCUGCCCCUGAGGGGUCCCUUUUGUCCCCUCCAUCUU